This is a small nucleolar RNA of Lycium ferocissimum, 107 nucleotides long. Lineage: Eukaryota; Viridiplantae; Streptophyta; Magnoliopsida; Solanales; Solanaceae. The record is from RefSeq and is a predicted model, not a curated record.
UGAUAGUGGUGAGGGCAAUCUCUGAGAAGACCCUUGAACCUUUCCCAAGCCUGAUAUAGAUUCUCGCCAUCUUUCUUCCAGAAUAACAUGAUUUCUCUCUUGAGCUA